This 253-nucleotide unclassified non-coding RNA is filed under the name uncultured Rhodobacterales bacterium. Its description in RNAcentral is "contains 16S-23S intergenic spacer region". It matches the Rfam family "Bacterial small subunit ribosomal RNA", at positions 524 to 776 of the family's 1533-position model. Lineage: Bacteria; Pseudomonadati; Pseudomonadota; Alphaproteobacteria; Rhodobacterales. The record is from RNAcentral.
GACGAGGGGUCCUAGCGUUGUUCGGAAUUACUGGGCGUAAAGCGCGCGUAGGCGGAUCAGAAAGUUGGGGGUGAAAUCCCGGGGCUCAACCCCGGAACUGCCUCCAAAACUCCUGGUCUUGAGUUCGAGAGAGGUGAGUGGAAUUCCGAGUGUAGAGGUGAAAUUCGUAGAUAUUCGGAGGAACACCAGUGGCGAAGGCGGCUCACUGGCUCGAUACUGACGCUGAGGUGCGAAAGUGUGGGGAGCAAACAGG